RNAcentral lists this long non-coding RNA (2344 nucleotides) under Monodelphis domestica (gray short-tailed opossum). RNAcentral's name for it is "lncRNA (ENSMODG00000046647.1)". The record is from RNAcentral. Lineage: Eukaryota; Metazoa; Chordata; Mammalia; Didelphimorphia; Didelphidae.
UACCUGUUCAAACAAACAACCCGACGGUGCUGGCCGGAGAGACGAUGCGCCCGCCGGCGUAGCUGCAGUACCUGCGCCUCAACGGCAACUCCUGGAUCUGCGACUGCCGCGCCCAGUCCCUGUGGGGCUGGUUCAGGCAGUUCAAGGGCUCCUCCUCCGACCUCGAGUGCCACCUGCCUCCGCGCCUGGCCGGGAGGGACCUCAAGCGGCUCCACGCCGCCGACCUGGAGGGCUGCGCCGACCCCGUGGGCCAGGUGUGGCCGGGGCCGAAGGCCCGACCCGGCCGGGGGCCCACCGCGGAGCCCCCGGACGGCCCUCUGAAGUGCUGCCAGCCCGAGGCGGACAAGUCUUUCAUGUACGAGGCCACGGGCCACGGCGGACCCCAGUACGGCAGCCUCCCCGCCGGCAACGGCCGCAAGGACAAGGAAAACAUGUCCAAACCCAAGUCGGCAGAGUCGGACGCUGCCAAAAACGCCAGCCAGAAGCACAUCAACGACUCGCCCUUCGGGACUUUCCCCAGCAACGUGGAGAUCCCUCUGACCAACUUCCAGCCGGAUCUCCUGGAGCCUGGGGAGUCUUCCGUGGCACCCCCUCGGCGGAGGCCUGGCUGCUCCCGAAAGAACCGGACCAAGGCCCAGUGCCGCACGGGCCCCACGGGCGGCGGCAGUGGUGGUGGCAGUGGCAGCAGCGGCGGCCUCCGUGCCCCCGCGCAGCCCGGCCUGGCCCUCGGCUUGGCUGUCUCAGUGGCUCUGCUCUGGACUUUGCCGUGGUCCUCUUAAUGGCUCCCGAGGAAGACUAGCACCUGCCACUGUGGCUGGGGCCACCCUGGAGGCUGGGGCCACAGGGGAACUGGAGGCCUUUACGGAGAAACCAGGUGUGGAUAAAGCGCAUCUCCAGCCCCCCAGCAGGGGAAUGAAGGGAAAAGGUCUCCCCCAGAAUGUUUCAGCACACGCGCACUCACACACUCACACGCACACACAACUUUUCAGACAAAACAAAACAAAACAAAAUCUCCCCAAGGUUGUUUCUAAGUUGGAAUCCUCCCGAACGGUGUCGCAAGUUCCCAUUUGCCAAGGCAGCGUGCUCGCUGCUCUCCGGAAGCCUGUCUCUGAAUAUUGCUGUCCACCAUCCCCAUCUCCAUCAAACCAUGUUUACAGGGGGCAUCGGUUCCAGAAUGCUGCUUCCUACUCAGACUGCAGUCUAUAUACAAAUAUACAUUUUAUUUUCCUUGUGUCAAAGUAUAAAAAAUAUAAAAUAAAGAUUUCCUUUUCCUACUCUGUUGACGAUGAGCCUGUACGGCAGCCUCCUCCGUCUGCCUGGAAACGUGGGGACUCGCUCUGGUAGGUCGGGGGCUUGUGCUCACACCGGAACGGGGGCUCCCUUGACCAAAGAGGGCCCCGAACCAUCUGUGCCUUUCCAGACGGUGCCAUGAGCGGCUCAGGUUCAAAAACAAAGUCUUUCCUGGUGAAGCCUUAGAUGGGCAUGACAGACACAAGGUCAGUCUGUUUCUGGGGCUUUUAGUGAUCCUUUAGGGACUUGCCUUUGAAGAGUGGGGGCCCCUUCACACCAUGAAGAUGGGAACAGUGGAAGGUUAAGAGAUUCAUAGGGUUCUGAGCCAACAGGGACCUUCUCUAUAGCCUAGUCCAAUCCCAUCAUUUUACAGAUGGGAAAACUGAGGUCAGGAAAAUGAAACAACUCACCCCGGUCACUUCUCAGAGGUCUGUCUAGUCCCUUUAGGUUGGGAAGUAUUCAGAUGUGGGUCCAGUGCUGGGCUCUAUGUGUACAUUGACUGAGAAGAUGUGCCAAGAAUACCAGCACGAUUUUAUCUCAUUUGAUUUUAGUUCUAGUCCUUCUUAGCUGUGUGAUCCUGAACCUCCCUGGACCUCAGUUUUCUCAUUUAUAAAAUGGAGGAGGGGGAAGAGAUGAUGGAUUCAAUGAACUCUAAAGUUCCUUCUAGUUCUAAAUUGACCAUCUGGUGGGCCUCCUGAGAACCUAGCUGCAGAAGAAGUAUAGAGAUCAUGAUCUUCAUUUAAUAGGUGAGGAAACUGAGGCACACAGUACACAAAGACUAAAGCUCAAAGAUGCACAUCACCCAGAAGGCUGGUGGCCUGAGGUGAGCAUCUAGGGAUGUGGGGAGAGGAUGUGGAUUAUGACCCUGUUUCAGGCAGGGAGGGCUCCUGGCAGGUGAAACUGACCACCUCCAGCAUUUCCCUAGUAGAUAAGUCAUUGAAGGGUUUGAAGCCCAAGGGACAAAUGCUCCAAAUCAUUCAUCAGAAGAGACAAAAAUUCAGAGAACUCCAAGGGACUACCUCACCCCUGUCGGUCAGACCAAAAUGAAAAAUGG